RNAcentral lists this ribosomal RNA (253 nucleotides) under uncultured prokaryote. Its description in RNAcentral is "partial 16S ribosomal RNA". It matches the Rfam family "Bacterial small subunit ribosomal RNA", at positions 525 to 777 of the family's 1533-position model. The record is from RNAcentral.
ACGUAGGGGGCAAGCGUUGUCCGGAUUUAUUGGGCGUAAAGAGCGUGUAGGCGGUCAGGUAGGUCCAUUGUGAAAACUCGAGGCUCAACCUCGAGACGCCGAUGGAAACCCCCUGACUAGAGUCCGGAAGAGGAGAGUGGAAUUCCUGGUGUAGCGGUGAAAUGCGCAGAUAUCAGGAAGAACACCCGUGGCUAAGGCGGCUCUCCAGUACGGUACUGACGCUGAGACGCGAAAGCGUGGGGAGCGAACAGGA